Molecule: long non-coding RNA, 528 nt
Organism: Octopus sinensis (East Asian common octopus)
Lineage: Eukaryota; Metazoa; Mollusca; Cephalopoda; Octopoda; Octopodidae
Exons: 3
Source: RefSeq, a predicted model, not a curated record
CUUGUGGACCAGUGUACCCUGACCACUGGUACAGGGGGGGCUUCCAGUUUCUGCUCCCUUGGCUCCCCUAUCUUUCUCUGCCAGGUCAUUUACCGUGAACAUUGAACUAAGAAGUAUGCUAGAAGAGAAAUCACCUGGAAGAAUAAACAACAAAACAUUUCUGUCAAUUUUCAAAAGGUGACACAUGUAGUGGUUUGGUUAUGUAGUACAACAUCGUGACACCCUAAUUGUAGUAAAUAUAAACAUGCAUAGACAAACCUCUAGUAAAAGAGGUUUAGGAAGAUCACAAAAGGGGUGGUCGAGCAACGAAAGAAUGAAAAUAAUGGUAAAUUUGAGAUUGUCUGAUGACCAGAAAAGAUAAGGCAUGUUAUUGUGUUUCUUAUUAUACACCUAGUGCCUUUCUGUGUGGUAAAUAGCUUGUUUACCAACCACAUGGUUCCGGGUUCAUUCCCACUGCGUGGCACGUCUUCUACUGUAGCCUCAGGCCAACAAAAGCUUUGUGAGUGGAUUUGGUAGACGGAAACUGAA